GCACAACGCGAAGAACCUUACCCACCUUUGACAUGUACGGAACUUGCCAGAGAUGGCUUGGUGCUCGAAAGAGAACCGUAACACAGGUGCUGCAUGGCUGUCGUCAGCUCGUGUCGUGAGAUGUUGGGUUAAGUCCCGCAACGAGCGCAACCCUUGCCAUUAGUUGCUACGAAAGGGCACUCUAAUGGGACUGCCGGUGACAAACCGGAGGAAGGUGGGGAUGACGUCAAGUCCUCAUGGCCCUUAUAGGUGGGGCUACACACGUCAUACAAUGGCUGGUACAAAGGGUUGCCAACCCGCGAGGGGGAGCCAAUCCCAUAAAACCAGUCGUAGUCCGGAUCGCAGUCUGCAACUCGACUGCGUGAAGUCGGAAUCGCUAGUAAUCGUGGAUCAGCAUGUCACGGUGAAUACGUUCCCGGGUCUUGUACACACCGAGUCUUGUACACACCGGGUCUUGUACAC
This 462-nucleotide ribosomal RNA is filed under the name uncultured bacterium. RNAcentral's name for it is "bacterial SSU rRNA". It matches the Rfam family "Bacterial small subunit ribosomal RNA", at positions 954 to 1420 of the family's 1533-position model. The record is from RNAcentral.